AGCGGCGGAUGGGUGAGUAACACGUGGGGAACCUGCCCCUAAGUCUGGGAUACCAUUUGGAAACAGGUGCUAAUACCGGAUAAUAAAGCAGAUCGCAUGAUCAGCUUUUGAAAGGCGGCGUAAGCUGUCGCUAAGGGAUGGCCCCGCGGUGCAUUAGCUAGUUGGUAAGGUAACGGCUUACCAAGGCGACGAUGCAUAGCCGAGUUGAGAGACUGAUCGGCCACAUUGGGACUGAGACACGGCCCAAACUCCUACGGGAGGCAGCAGUAGGGAAUCUUCCACAAUGGACGCAAGUCUGAUGGAGCAACGCCGCGUGAGUGAAGAAGGUUUUCGGAUCGUAAAGCUCUGUUGUUGGUGAAGAAGGAUAGAGGUAGUAACUGGCCUUUAUUUGACGGUAAUCAACCAGAAAGUCACGGCUAACUACGUGCCAGCAGCCGCGGUAAUACGUAGGUGGCAAGCGUUGUCCGGAUUUAUUGGGCGUAAAGCGAGCGCAGGCGGAAAAAUAAGUCUAAUGUGAAAGCCCUCGGCUUAACCGAGGAACUGCAUCGGAAACUGUUUUUCUUGAGUGCAGAAGAGGAGAGUGGAACUCCAUGUGUAGCGGUGGAAUGCGUAGAUAUAUGGAAGAACACCAGUGGCGAAGGCGGCUCUCUGGUCUGCAACUGACGCUGAGGCUCGAAAGCAUGGGUAGCGAACAGGAUUAGAUACCCUGGUAGUCCAUGCCGUAAACGAUGAGUGCCAAGUGU
Molecule: ribosomal RNA, 743 nt
Filed under: uncultured bacterium
Lineage: Bacteria
Description: bacterial SSU rRNA
Rfam family: Bacterial small subunit ribosomal RNA
Source: RNAcentral